AAAAUUCUCAACCAUGCUGGUUCUUCUGGCAUGGCUUGGAUUUGGGGGGUCUGCAGGCUUUAAAGUCGGCUCCCCUGAAAAGGAUUAGCGGUAUCUGAGCAGACACGGCGUGAUAAUUAUCUAUGCUGUUGGCAUGCGCAAGAAUCCUGCUUCUAAACCCGAGUGUUGAAAA
RNAcentral lists this unclassified non-coding RNA (172 nucleotides) under uncultured Inocybe. Its description in RNAcentral is "sequence contains ITS2". The record is from RNAcentral. Lineage: Eukaryota; Fungi; Basidiomycota; Agaricomycetes; Agaricales; Cortinariaceae.